This 115-nucleotide small nucleolar RNA is filed under the name Drosophila melanogaster (fruit fly). RNAcentral describes it as "small nucleolar RNA MeU2-A31". Lineage: Eukaryota; Metazoa; Arthropoda; Insecta; Diptera; Drosophilidae. The record is from RNAcentral.
AUUUAUAUGAUUAUAUUCCUGUUCUACCAUAUUACAUUUUGUCAGAAAUUUAAUAGUUUACCAAAGCCUCGAUUCUCAUGCCACAAACAGAGAGAUUCUCAAACCCAAUGAAAAU